AAGUGAGUGGCUUAAAACAACAGGAGUAUAUUGUCUGUCAGUCCUGGAGGCCAGAAGCCUGAGAUCAAGGUGUCAUCAGCGUGGUUCCUUCUGAGGGCUUUGAGGGAAGAAUCUAUUCCAUGCCUCUACCCUAGCUUCUGGCAGUUUAUUGGCAAUCUUUAUGUUCCUUGGCUUGUAGAUGCAUCACUUGAUCUCUGCCUUCAUGUUCACAUGGUGUUUUCCCUGUGUGCAUGUCUGUGUCCAAUUUUCCCCUUUUUAUAAGGACACCAGACACAUUGGAUUGAGCUCAUUCUACUUCAGGGUGACGUCAUCUUAAUUAGUUACAUCUACAAUAAUCCUCUUCUCAAAUAAGGUCACAUUCUGAGGCGCUGGGGGCCAGGACUUUAACAUAUGAACUUUUGGGAUAUUUGGCUUAACCCAUAACACAAUCCAAAGGAUAGGACUAGGACCAUAGGAUGGAAGGCAUAGGAAGAGCAUCAUCAUUUUCAGCUAAUUUUUAAAUUUUUUUUUAGAGAUGUCUCUCUCUCUCUCUCCUGCCACCAUGUGAAAAAGGUGCUUGCUUCCCAACUUUGCCUUCCACCUUGAUUGUGAGGCAGCCAGGUGGGUGAGCGUCCCUGCAGAAACUCCAACCUGCCGGCCCACUGAGGUGGAGCCCCGGGAGGUUCACACCCUUUGCAGCAGGGAGGAGCCUGGCCCCUCCUCUUCCUGUUUGGAACCUGGGAUUCAAAUGGCCUGGCAGGAAGUGCUCUAGCAGAGGGACUCUGGCCUUGCAAGAGUCCCUAUUUCCCCCUUUUUUUUUGCUUUUCACACAGUAAAACCCUGCUUUACUUCCCUUUGAGUCGUCUGUGAGCCUAAAUUUUUGUGGCUGUGGGAAGGACAAGAACCCCAUCUUUAGCUGAAAUAAGGAAAAGUUCCGCAACAUUUUUGGCACACACCCUGGGGGCUCCGGAAGUGAAAGUUCCCAGGAGAUGAAGACAUUGAAACUGCCAUCAUAAAAUUAAUAAAAGGUUCAAGAUUAGAAUUAUGGUAUUGGCCUGGAUUUUGUUAAGACAGAGACAUAGGAUUAUGUUGGCUCGGAGAAUGAUACCUCAAAGGCUGGUGCUGAGAGUUCUUAGAAGCUGCUUCAGAAUCAAGGUUUAACCGUGUUUCUCCCCUUCCCUUACAACCCUAAGCUCAGGGAGGGACUCUUUGGAUUUCCUUAUCUGAUGAAGAAAGCUUUCUAAAAGAAAUUCUGUGGUCUUAAUCCCCCUCCCUAAGGAUCUCUCCAGAGAUCAACCACUGGAGAAAAGAUACUAGGAGUCAUCACCACAUCUAGACAGAGUGCUGCUCCAAGAGAUUAACUGAGGGAUUUCAUCUGCAUAAUAAGUCAACCUUUUUUCCGGGCGCAAUGGCUCACGCCUGUAAUCCUAGCACUUUCGGAGGCCCAGGUGAGUGGAUCACCUGAGAUCAGGAGUUUGAGACCAACCUGGCCAACUUUGUGAAACCCUGUCUCUACUAAAAAUACAAAAAUUGCCAGGCAUGGUGGUGCACGCCUGUAAUCUCAGCUACUCGGGAGGCUGAGGCAGGAGAAUUGCUUGAACCCGGGAGGUGGAGGUUGCAGUGAGCCGAGAUCGCACCACUGCGCUCCAGCCUGGGUGACAGAGCGAGACUCUGUUUCAAAAAAAAAAAAAAAAAAAAAAAGACAAUCUUUGUUUCUGUGCAGCUCUGCCCCUGUAAUGUCUACUUCAACUUCCCAGGUCCAUUCAUUCUCCCUAAUGGUUUAUUGCGCCUCAAAAGAAUUGUCUACAUUCCCUAUCUUCUCUUCUAUGAAAAAGGAUAUAUAAGCUUCUAUACCAUACUGGGUUAUAGAGCAAUCACUGUGAUUUUCCCUCAAGCAUGUUAAUAAUUUGUAUGCCUUUUCUCCUAUUAAUUUGCCUUUUGUCAGUUGAUUUUCAGCACAUCUUCAGAGGACAAAGAAGCAGCUCUUUUCACUCCUACAAUGGGAAUGAUAAUCUCCACCUUAUUUAGUUUUAAAAGAAUUAAAUGAGAUAAUGCAGCUAAAGCAGUUCAGAAUAAAACCUGACAUGUAGUAAUACUAGUUGCUAAUGAUUAUUAAGUGCUUAUUAUGUGCUAGGGCUCAAAAAUAUUACAUGUUUCUAUUCCUUUUUGUCAAACAGGGCAUGUUCAAAGAGUUAAAUUUGACAGAUGAGAAUCUACAAAGCAGGGAGGUUGCCCAAACUCAAUACUGAAUAUCAUGCAUCAGAAUCACCUUGGAGGACUUGUUAAUAAAACACAGAUUGCUGGGCCCCAUCCCCAGAUUUUCAUAUUCAGUAGGACUGGAGAGUGCUAUCUAAGAAUAUGCAUUUCUAACAACAUCCCAGGUGAUGCUGAUGCUGCUGGUCUGGGGACCAAACUUUGAGCUACGUGGGCAUAGAGGUUAAGAGGUCACAUUUUGAAAUCAGAAGGAUUCAUAUUGGAAGCUGAGCUUUAAUACUAGAUGGCCUUGGGAAAAUUACCUUGUCUUUUUUUUUUGAGAUGGAGUCUCACUCU
Molecule: long non-coding RNA, 2529 nt
Filed under: Homo sapiens (human)
Lineage: Eukaryota; Metazoa; Chordata; Mammalia; Primates; Hominidae
Description: HSALNT0191240
Source: RNAcentral